ACGGCGAGUGAAGCGGCAAUAGCUCAAAUUUGAAAUCUGGCGCAAGCCCGAGUUGUAAUUUGUAGAGGAUGCUUCUGGGCAGCGGCCGGUCUAAGUUCCUUGGAACAGGACGUCAUAGAGGGUGAGAAUCCCGUAUGCGACCGGCUUGCACCCGUCACGUAGCUCCUUCGACGAGUCGAGUUGUUUGGGAAUGCAGCUCUAAAUGGGAGGUAAAUUUCUUCUAAGGCUAAAUACCGGCCAGAGACCGAUAGCGCACAAGUAGAGUGAUCGAAAGAUGAAAAGCACUUUGGAAAGAGAGUUAAAAAGCACGUGAAAUUGUUGAAAGGGAAGCUCACGCAACCAGACUUGUCGGCGGUGUUCCGCCGGUCUUCUGACCGGUCUACUCGCCGCCGGCAGGCCAGCAUCACUUGGGAGCGCCGGAUAAAGGCGUGCGGAAUGUAACCCCUCGGGGUAUUAUAGCCGCGCGCACAAUACGGCGCCUCCCGAGUGAGGUCCGCGCUUCGGCUAGGAUGCUGGCGUAA
Molecule: ribosomal RNA, 521 nt
Filed under: Hortaea werneckii
Lineage: Eukaryota; Fungi; Ascomycota; Dothideomycetes; Mycosphaerellales; Teratosphaeriaceae
Description: LSU rRNA
Rfam family: Eukaryotic large subunit ribosomal RNA
Source: RNAcentral